Molecule: long non-coding RNA, 242 nt
Organism: Lolium rigidum
Lineage: Eukaryota; Viridiplantae; Streptophyta; Magnoliopsida; Poales; Poaceae
Exons: 2
Source: RefSeq, a predicted model, not a curated record
CGCAGGGUGCCAGUGAGUUCCUCCAGUUCUGGGUCCAUCCAGCGAGGUCACUCGCGCGGAGCGUGCAGAUCCGCCGCCAUCCUCCUGUGUGGUGGAUGUGCUCGAUGGCCAGGUCAAGAGGCAUGGUACGGUUCCUGAUGCCCAUCGGUAGUGAGAACUGCAAAAGGUAGUAGCAGAUUCAAAGUAGUGUGCUUCAGCAGGUACCUACCGUGCUUAUAAGUUGUUUCGAAAAUCAUUCCAGG